CUUUAACUCUGGCGGCAUGCUUUACACAUGCAAGUCGAACGGUAACAGGCCGCAAGGUGCUGACGAGUGGCGAACGGGUGAGUAAUGCAUCGGAACGUGCCCAGUCGUGGGGGAUAACUACUCGAAAGAGUAGCUAAUACCGCAUACGAUCUAUGGAUGAAAGCGGGGGACCGUAAGGCCUCGCGCGAUUGGAGCGGCCGAUGUCAGAUUAGGUAGUUGGUGGGGUAAAGGCUCACCAAGCCAACGAUCUGUAGCUGGUCUGAGAGGACGACCAGCCACACUGGGACUGAGACACGGCCCAGACUCCUACGGGAGGCAGCAGUGGGGAAUUUUGGACAAUGGGCGCAAGCCUGAUCCAGCAAUGCCGCGUGCAGGAAGAAGGCCUUCGGGUUGUAAACUGCUUUUGUACGGAACGAAACGGCUCUGGUUAAUACCCGGGGCUAAUGACGGUACCGUAAGAAUAAGCACCGGCUAACUACGUG
This 482-nucleotide ribosomal RNA is filed under the name uncultured bacterium. RNAcentral describes it as "partial 16S ribosomal RNA". It matches the Rfam family "Bacterial small subunit ribosomal RNA", at positions 30 to 507 of the family's 1533-position model. The record is from RNAcentral.